This 416-nucleotide ribosomal RNA is filed under the name Staphylococcus sp. H2-13-l. Its description in RNAcentral is "bacterial SSU rRNA". It matches the Rfam family "Bacterial small subunit ribosomal RNA", at positions 235 to 643 of the family's 1533-position model. Lineage: Bacteria; Bacillati; Bacillota; Bacilli; Caryophanales; Staphylococcaceae. The record is from RNAcentral.
GCCGUAUUAGCUAGUUGGUAAGGUAACGGCUUACCAAGGCAACGAUACGUAGCCGACCUGAGAGGGUGAUCGGCCACACUGGAACUGAGACACGGUCCAGACUCCUACGGGAGGCAGCAGUAGGGAAUCUUCCGCAAUGGGCGAAAGCCUGACGGAGCAACGCCGCGUGAGUGAUGAAGGUCUUCGGAUCGUAAAACUCUGUUAUCAGGGAAGAACAAAUGUGUAAGUAACUGUGCACAUCUUGACGGUACCUGAUCAGAAAGCCACGGCUAACUACGUGCCAGCAGCCGCGGUAAUACGUAGGUGGCAAGCGUUAUCCGGAAUUAUUGGGCGUAAAGCGCGCGUAGGCGGUUUUUUAAGUCUGAUGUGAAAGCCCACGGCUCAACCGUGGAGGGUCAUUGGAAACUGGAAAACUU